AAUUCUCCCUUGGAUCCAGACUCCCUUCCUGGCUCAUGAUGAACGCUAGCUACAGGCUUAACACCUGCAAGUCGAGGGGAAACGACAUCGAAAGCUUGCUUUUGAUGGGCGUCGACCGGCGCACGGGUGAGUAACGCGUAUCCAACCUGCCCACCACUUGGGGAUAACCUUGCGAAAGUAAGACUAAUACCCAAUGACGUCUCUAGAAGACAUCUGAAGGAGAUUAAAGAUUUAUCGGUGAUGGAUGGGGAUGCGUCUGAUUAGCUUGUUGGCGGGGUAACGGCCCACCAAGGCGACGAUCAGUAGGGGUUCUGAGAGGAAGGUCCCCCACAUUGGAACUGAGACACGGUCCAAACUCCUACGGGAGGCAGCAGUGAGGAAUAUUGGUCAAUGGGCGAGAGCCUGAACCAGCCAAGUAGCGUGCAGGAUGACGGCCCUAUGGGUUGUAAACUGCUUUUAUAAGGGAAUAAAGUGAGUCUCGUGAGACUUUUUGCAUGUACCUUAUGAAUAAGGACCGGCUAAUUCCGUGCCAGCAGCCGCGGUAAUACGGAAGGUCCGGGCGUUAUCCGGAUUUAUUGGGUUUAAAGGGAGCGUAGGCCGGAGAUUAAGCGUGUUGUGAAGUGUAGAUGCUCAACAUCUGAACUGCAGCGCGAACUGGUUUCCUUGAGUACGCACAAAGUGGGCGGAAUUCGUGGUGUAGCGGUGAAAUGCUUAGAUAUCACGAAGAACUCCGAUUGCGAAGGCAGCUCACUGGAGCGCAACUGACGCUGAAGCUCGAAAGUGCGGGUAUCGAACAGGAUUAGAUACCCUGGUAGUCCGCACGGUAAACGAUGGAUGCCCGCUGUUGGUCUGAAUAGGUCAGCGGCCAAGCGAAAGCAUUAAGCAUCCCACCUGGGGAGUACGCCGGCAACGGUGCAACUCAAAUGAAUUGACGG
This 935-nucleotide ribosomal RNA is filed under the name uncultured Bacteroidota bacterium. RNAcentral's name for it is "bacterial SSU rRNA". It matches the Rfam family "Bacterial small subunit ribosomal RNA", at positions 1 to 916 of the family's 1533-position model. Lineage: Bacteria; Pseudomonadati; Bacteroidota. The record is from RNAcentral.